AAAGUUCGGCAUCGACGGGGCGGGAGGUGGGGGCGCUGCCCCGCGCCUUUGUUCAGCGGGGAGAGGACCUGCGGCGGAGCCGAGACGACCGCGCAGAUAGGCACGCACCCGGCAGCGCGGCCCCGCGCCCACGGGACGAGGAGGAGGAGGGAGGCAGAAGGUCCCCUUGCAGCCUCCCUCACUCUCUCCCUCCCUCCAAGGUCAAAACAUGGCUGUCCAAAGAAUGGGAUGCUUGCCAAAACAUCAAUCUGUGCUGAGUGCCAUACUCAUUAUCCUUCCAGUGGUGGAUUACAACUCGGGUCUCCUCAGGAGGUGACUGAUGUGGAACAAACUGUACGACUGUCUUUGCUGUUUGGAUACGUGUGUAAGUUAACGGGCUACUGGGAGAAGAUGAAGAGGCUUUUGCAGAAAAAUGAGGAUAUCAUGGGAAGUGCUGCUGCUAACCAUUUGGAUUAUAUUGCUGUCUGACACAGAAGUUCUGCAGAUUACGUAAGGAACUCUCCAGAUCUUUUUUGUUAUGUGAUUGCUGAAGCAUUUUCCUGGCACAGCAGUAAUGAUUGAUGAACACACUUCAGACUAGGAGCCACAGAGCAGUGAGGAUUUAUGCAUCUGGAAUAGAACUAUGAAUGGGAUUGCAGGAUUUACAUGGAGGACUCUGAAAUCCCUCACUUCCUGCUCCAGGAAGGGGGCCUGCUUUGUGACCUGGGGUACAAUCUAUGUCUGCUACUGAAGCUAUCUUGACUGGCAUGAGAAAUGGCUGUCCGCAUAUACAGAGGUGCAGCACAGCCCCUGGCUCUCAAUACAACCUUCAGAUGAAGGAGGAAAAAUAACAGUUCCAGGCAUUGUAAAAGAGGACCUUCUUCUCUGAUGAGGACAUUGCUGAGUUUAACUAGCAGAAGGUAGUAUCUUUACAUCACUACAUGAUGCAGAUGGAUCACUCUUUGCCAGCUGCCAAAUCAAAUAUUGCUGUACAGUCUCUACCUUCAGCAACAUCCUCAGUGUUCUGGUGGUGGGUCCCUUGAAAGGAUGGGGCAGAACAGACUUCAUGCCACCCCUGUACUUCAAGCUCUCUGCUCUGCAUGAAGCUGCACUGUUCAGAAGAAGCAAGAUUCUUUCCUCACAGCUACGGCACUGCGACACAGCCUGCUUUUUCGCAUUUACCUGGGUGGCUGCUGCUGGUUCUGCUGCUGCUGCUGCAGCCUCGCUGCCUGCGCUUCACCCCAGCUUGGCUGAUGCGAGCCUCCCUCGUCUGCACAUUGCUAAGGAAGAGAAGCGAUGGAGCCGCAAUUUUUUUGUUGGUUCUGGAAGCAAAGGGUUGUGAUGUGGGGUUGUUUGGGGGUUUUCUUUUUUUUUUUUUUUUUUGGUGGGGAGAGAAAGGAGGGAUGUUAAUCUAGGGUGGAGUGGGUAAAAGCUUAAAGAAAUAUGAUGAAAAGUAAUCCAGUGCUCAACAAGGGCAUCAGCAGCAAGAAUCCAGCCUCUGCUGCUCCAGAGGAUUAAGAUGGGGAAAGCCACAGAACUGCAGUCGAGUUGCACCUCAGCGUUGUUCUGGAGAUGGAUAAACAAGGUAUUGGUCGUAUCUGCCUGCUAAGGCAAAGCCACGGGAGGAAGAGCGAGCGAGAGAGUGCGUGCAAAUGCAGUGGAAGAAGGAACGCUGCGUGCUGUUUGUCUGAUUCUGUGCAUUCUCAGUGUGGAGAGGAUGGUGUGAUUAAGAAAACAAUGUAUGGAUAGAGGCACUAUGAAUUGUAGCUCGAACACUCCUGAUGCUGUCAGGGAGGGAACUGAUGAGCUAGGUGGCUGCAGCAGUAUCCCCAGGGAAAACAGCGGCCAUGCUGUGUAUGUAUGUGCUUAUGUAUGUGUGUGUGCUUAUGCGUGUGGGAGCAUGUACAGACAUGAAAGAAAGACAUUUCUGACCAAUUUACAGAGGAAGCUUGUCACUUUGAUGGUCAGCCUUGAUUGCAGCUUGUAUUUUCAGCUCUAGCUCUACACCCAAUUUCUGAGUGAGGCAGCACUUUGCGAAUGCAGAUGUAGGCAGGAUUCUUCUAAGAAAUAUGAAAGCAGAUCCUUUCUGUUUAACACCUUGGAGCACUGAAUUUUCUGCACUGUGUUGAGAGAAGCUAAGGGGGAGGGGAUCAUUUUCUCCAUCUUACAAUCUUUAUGAACACAGCUAUAUUCAGUACGGCAAAAAAAUUCUAUGUUCUAAAUAGAAAUGUGAUCAAUCUAAUCAAAAUAAAUGCAUCCCAGAUGACUUCUAGACCAGCUGGCUACCACAGUCAUCAGAUGGCUAAAUGCUCAACUGAGCAUUUAUAGUCAGGAUUAUAUUUCUUUUUUCUUUCUUUCUUUCUUUUUUUUUUUUUUUUUUUAGAAUUUUAAAAUCAGCCUCUAAUUAAAAAAUGAUUAUUCCUCUAUUAAAAGAGACAGCAGCUAGCAGCAGAUUUUUCUGAAAUGUACCUGUUUGGUUUUGUUUUUGUUUUUUGUCAUUGUCAUCUGAUUGGCUUGGGCUCUUUUUGUUUAUCUGUUUGGUUUAUAUUUCUGCGCAUGCAUUGAGGAGUCCAUGCUUUUAGAACAGGGAGACUUGUCACAGUGCUUGGCAUACUGAGUUCAGCUGGCAGCUCAGGUUGCCCAUAGCUGAACAAUGCAAAAAUAGGGAAAACAAGUACUGCAGUCAGCUAGUGGGGUUUGGCAUGGCUUUUAGCAGCUGCCUACUGAGAAAGAGGUUUCUUUUUUCUAUUCUUUUUUUUUUUCCCUUUUAUACAAAUCCGUAGACCAUAAUGUCAUCCUAAAAUGCGUACGGGGGGAUUUCCCAAUAGUCAUGGUGGGCUACCCUGCAAGAUGCCUGUCUGGCCCUUCCACUGUUUGUUACCCUGUCUACAAAGGCUGCCCUGUGUGUUGGAUUAUAUUUAGCCAGCUGCUGGGUAACAUUCUUGUGCUGGGGGCAGAGGAGUCUUAUUACUCCCAUACUGUAGUUUUGUGUUUUCUUAAAGAAAAAUAACCUUGGCAAUACAGCAGGCUCUGAAAAGAAGUGUAUACCACUCCUGCACCUUUCUGAAACUGCUGUGCUUCUAACUCAGGCUGUUUUAAAGCAAGCGAGCAGGAGGAAGAGUGGCUCUUAGCUCAUAGCUUCAAAGCUGCAAAAUGUCAGCAGCUUGUAAUUAGGAACCCGUGGUUACGUCAGGGACUGUAUCUCUCCAAGAAUAGCUGUGUGAUGUGUGCCACAAAGCAAAGGAAGGCAGUCAUAACCUGGUUCUCGAGCCUGCUUUGAACAACAGAGCGAAAUGGAUUAAUGAAUCAGCUGCAUUCGUAAAUCAGAGCUGGAUGGCUUACACGUAUGAGACUGGCUGCACUCUGCAAAAGUGAAGACUGAAUUAUCGGUUUGUCAGAGGGCACACGUUCACCGAGUGGAAGUGUGAAUCCUUCGGAAGAAAUGCAGACAAGCCAUCUGUCCUAGGAAAUGUCAUUCCCGUCUCCAUCUUGCACAGGCAGCUGCGUGCCACGAGGCAUGGGAGGGAGCGACUGGCCAGCCGCACCAAGGUGUUUAAAAGCACGCAUAAAAUUAAACACAAAGAGCCAGCACACCAAAACUCGGCUCUGGCGUUGCAGAUUUGAUGCUGAAAUACCACCCCAGUGCAGACCUACUGCGCUCAGGUGUGGUUUCUAUUAAGGCUUCUCUGGUUAAGGGAUGGUGCAAAAAAAGCCUUAGCGCAACAUCUUGCAGCCAAACGUGGUCCUGGGGGUGUACUGGGAAUGCUGCGGCGCUGGGCUGCCUACUCCACAGGGACCUGCCUGGAGCUUUCUGAUCCCUGCUGUUGUUUUUCGGUCUGGGCUGGCUGCUCCACAGCACUUAAGCGGUGAGAUUGCAGGGGUGCUUACCCUGCUCUGACCGGCCUUUCCCCGUGCUGUGGCUGGAGAUGUUUACACGGCUUUUAUCGACAGCCCUUCACCAGUCAGUGUGCAUUGCUGCCUGUUUUUGGCAGCCUGGCGUGGUUCCUUGCUCGCAGCACAAGUCAGCUGCAGUUCUGCUCUUUGUGCUGCUCUUUAAUUUACCAGGAUAGGUAGAUUGUAUUAUGCAAACAGUGGUUGUGGGUUCUGUUUUUUUUUUUUUUUUUUUUUUUUUUCCCUGACCGUGAACACAAAUUUGUAGGAGGAGAUGACUCUGUAUAUUAAACCAAUAGCUCUUUGAAUUGUGUGUAGUAUAAUUUAAAUAUACUUACUUUAAUUAGUAGGAGCUUACAAAAGCCGGCAUUGUCUGGGGCUGUUUAAUUUACAUCGCGGCCUCUGUCAAUGAGUGCAACCUGCCUGAACAGAAUGGCGUAUUCUGCACAGCCGGCAGGGUGGAAGGCGUUACUUUGUUUGUGUUCCUUCCAACAGCUGGUCAUUAAUGCAGGCCCCAUCUCCAGAGUGAAGUGCCGGUGGACAUGAAUGGCCGCCUGAUUAAUGCUGCCCCUCGAUGGCUCCUUCUUCCAGCAGUGAUGCUCGCAGCAGAAUAAUGCAGCGUGAUUUGAUUGCGCUCUAACAGGGCAGUAUGUCAUUGUGUCACCAAGCAAUUGAGGUUAUUAUGGGGCAGGGCAGACAGACGGGACAGUGGGGUUACUAGACCGUGGCAUUUUUAGAAAUGCAGGCCUGACCUACUUAGAGUUAUUCUUGCUGGCUGGCAGCUGCAUGGUGCAUGGCUUGUCCUGAUAGGCUGAGGCUGUUGCUAGGGGGAAUUAGCAUGAAUUUUUCCACAUACAGACUCAGUGAUUGAAUGAUAAAAGCUGACUGGAAUUAAAGAGAUUCGGUUCAGUAUUAUGCAGAUUUAUCUCCCUUGUUUUUUCCUCUCUCAAAUGCAUAAAAAAGGAGCAGAAGACAGUUUGUUUCCAUUCAUUUUUGACCUAUUUUUUUUCCAGAGGAGGGCAGAAGCACUGUGAAUUUUUGAUCAUUUACUAUUUAAGUCGCUGAAAUGAUAUGACAGUGGGCAUGCAUCUUUAAUGUAUAGGAGAUUCAAAUUCCUUCUCUCAGAAGGGAAUGAAAUGAAUAUAGUUUAUACACUGAUCAGACCAUCGCCUUUAUUUAUUUAUUUAUUUAUUUAUUUAUUUAUUCUCUAUUUGAAACUAUGUCAGAUUCUCUCAUCUGGAAAGGGAAAACGUACACCAGGUUUUAUUGCAUAACUUCACUCUUGGCUAUUUUUAGCUAUCUGCACUUUACAAAAUUAGUCCUGUUUGUGUGGCUGGAUGAAAUGAAUCCCCAGACUGUGCCUCCUGUAUGCAGAUACACGCACCCAGGAUGUGCUGUAGUGUGCCGUGUUCAUCUGAAAAGAUGCGCACACACUGCAGACAUAGCAGCUCUGCCUGUUGGCGGAGAACUGACGACUGGCCUUUAAGCUGAUUGAUUAGAUAACCUCUUGUGCAUUUUGAAGUAUUUUUCCGGCUUCAGUUUGAAGUUUGAUUCUCUUGAUAGCACUUUUUUAUUUAUCUACAUCUGCUUAAAACAGUCAUGUUUUUUCAGAGAAUUCUGUGUUCCCUCUGGAAGCAAGUAAAAACAAUACUCAGUGAAGACUUCUUUGAUGUAAUUAUGGAUAUUUCCUUUGUUAUUAUCACUAAUUAUAAGAUAUCUUCGUCCAAACCACAGUACCCCCUGUGUGAUCCUUUACCAUGCAAAAGGAGUUACAAUUUAGUGCUUAUGAUUUUAAAAGGGUUUUCAUGGCAACACCUCCUGACAUCACACUCAAAGAAUUGUGACUUUCCAGCAUCUGGGAAUGAGGGAGAGGGACUCUGAAGUUUUUGUAUUUGCCAAAUGAGUGUGUGACUCAUUGCUGAAAAUUGUGAGCUCAUUUGAGUUUCAUGUGAAAUACCUGGAUGAAUGAGACACUUCUCAGAGCAGUAUCUGUCAGGAUGGCCAGAAUUACCCCUGGAGUUUCCUGGCCUCCUGCCUCAGCUCAUGAAGUUUCUCUGGAGGGUUUGAAGGUGAAUCAGUUAAACAUGGAGACAUACAUCUGAGUGCAUUUUGUAGUCUAGGCAAAAGCAUUUGAUUUGUACAGAUUUGAAUUUUCUGUGUCUCUUUUCCUGUUGGUCAUUUACUACUGAAGCACAUAGCUCUUCCCUGUCUCUUUCUUCCUGACAGCUUUGUGGAUUGACAGACUUGUGGAGGCAUGAAAGUGAAGAGAGGCUUUAUUGGAAACCCAGAGGUUUCUCCUUCUGGCUGUGUUCUCACCAUCUGUCCAGAUGUAACUCCAGCAAGUGUAACUGUGAUGCAGGUCCCACUUCCCACAGCAGGAACCACUCCUCCCAGUAUUCUCUUGAUCAAAGCCCUAUUUCUUGAUCUGCUUUCUUGUGGGAUGCUGUCAGUGGCUUUGGCUUUGCACCUGGGCUACCAUUUUCACUUUGGCAUGUCUUCCAAACCUCCUUGAUGCUGUGUUUUCUGCUGUUUCCCCUCAUGCUCCCACUUGCAUUCCAUGUGAUAAACCUGUUUUAGUGAUGAGAGAGAAGGAUCAGGUCGCGGAGAGGUUUACUUUUGGGAGGGUAGGCAAUGGCCAGGCUUUGUUUGGAAUUGUCUUUUAAAGUUCUCACCCUCAUUGAAUGUAGCCAGUCAUAGUUUCACCCAGUUGACUUGCAACAUCAGCUAACUUGGACAUCAGCAAAUCAAAACUACCGUACCAUAUUACAUUAAUUUCAGUGGAAACAUAUUUUUUAGAAAAAUCAUAAUCAUGGAAUCAUAGAAUCACUCAGGUUGAGAAAGACCUUAAAGAUCAUCGAGUCCAACCAUGACCUAACCAUACUACCCUAACAACCCUCUGCUAAAUCAUGUCCCUGAGAACCACAUCCAAACGAUUUUUAAACACAUCCAGGAAUGGUGACUCAACCACCUCCCUGGGGAGCCUAUUCCAGUGCUUAACAACCCUUUCAGUAAAGUUUUUCCUGAUAUCCAACCUAAACUUACCCUGGUGCAACUUAAGGCCAUUUCCCCUCUUCCUGUCACCUGUCACCAGUGAGAAGAGACCAACCCCGCUCUCUCUGUAGGCACCUUUCAGAUAUUGGAAGAGAGGUCUCCCCCCAGCCUUUUUUUCCCCAGACUAAACAGCCCCAGUUCCUUCAGUCUCUCCUCACAGGGCAUAUUCUCCAAGCCCUUCACAAGCCUUGUUGUCCUUCUUUGGACCUGCUCCAGCACCUCCAUGUCCUUUCUGUACUGAGUUGUAAUGAGUUGAGUAUCAUCUUAUUUUGGCAUAUUCAUGCUAAGAGCGAGCCCAGAGGAAGGCAAGAAACAAUAUUAAGCAUAUAGUCUAUGGAAAAGAAUUAUAUCCCUGAUAUUUGUUUGGGAUUUCAGUACAGUGAACGUUUAUAACAGACAUCAAGUCAGUCAGUUUUAACAAACUGUCAAGUGACAUAUUAAAUAUGAAAAAUGCAGUGCACCAGAAAUUGUACUCAACAUUAGGUUACUAUUCUGCAAGUCACUUUAAAGGAAAUUACCUCAAAUAAAUUAAUGUGUGAAUUGUCUGAUCAUAAUGCCUGGGAUAAUUAUAAGUAGCAGAAAUGUGGAGUUAAUGAAACAGAAACAAAAUCUAGCUCUUUCUAUGUAUGUGUUUAUAAAGCAUAAGAAUCAGGGCACCAGAAGAGUUUGAAAUAUAUGUCUGUUGAAAAUACAGUCAGUUGUGUACAUUCCUUCAAAAAGCAUGUUAAGAAUUUUCUGAUUGUCUCCUCUGAGGUUUCUACUGUUGUAACAACUCACACCUCCCACCCAGAAGUUGCUUACCUACAAAAGAUUGUGUUGUAUUGUUCAGCAUUUUUGUACCAUGACCUCUCCUGUGAGCUGUGAAAGAUCUAUUGUGCUGUGUUUCAUUCUCUAGGGUGGCUAAGCGAGUGCUGAUUUACAAGUAGCAUAUGCAGACAAUUUUUUCUUCCAAUCAAGGAUCCAAAAUCCUACCACUAUUUGAGUUGGCUGUGGUGGUCAGUGUAUUCCUCACCCAGGAGUCUUGGCUGGUUGUGCACUUUGUGCAUUUUGUGAUGUCAUUCAGCUUUCUGGUUUUCUGAAAAGGAGCAGAGGAUGCAGGAUAUAGAAUGGCACAUCUAGAUUCCCAUGAAGGGAUAAUGGCAGCAAGGAGUGAGCUCACUUCCAGACUUUACCUCCUGCCAGGACCUUUAAGAUCAGUUUUUUUCUGCAGCAAAUUUGUUUUGGUUCCAAUUUCAAACCCAAAGUAGGAGGAAGUGUAUUAUAUUUCUUAAAAAGUGGCAGUUGACGCAUUCCUUCUACUGCAGUACAGGAGGGAAUACAAAUGUUUUACAAAUUAAAAUAAUCCUUACAGUAUUUUUUUUCCUGUGAUCCACUAAGAUGGAAACUAAUUCUGUAACAUUACCUUCAGCCAGGAGCAGCAUUACUGUGGCUCCCACAUUCAUAUUUUUCCUGCAUGUGUGCGCCUAUAUACUCGGAAAUACUGUACACACAUUGUGUGUAUAGUAUAUAUACAAAAGACACAGUAUAUAUAUACUAUACAUAGUAUAGUAUAUAUAUAAAAGACACAGACAAUUUACACAAGUGCAGUAUUGGAGCAUACAUUAUAAUGUGUAAUCACAGUUACCUCAGAUUAAUACCAGAACUGUGCUUCCAAGUGUUCAGUGCUGGCUUGUUUAUGGUGAAAGCAUCUUGACAUACAAUUCGUACCAUUUCAACACAGAGCAUAACCAUCACAUUAAUCCUGUCAUCCCAUUCACCACCACCACCGACAAAUGAUGCUGUGUAAUAGAAAGAUACCAAAAAGGGGACAUUAUGGUUAAAAUUACUGUAUAAUUAGAUAGGUGGAUUUCAUAACCACUUUUCAUUUUUUGUAGUCACAAGUGAUGUAAAAUGAAAUGUUUGAUAGCUGUUUAAGACAGAGAGACAAUUUUUUUCUUAUUGUUAAUUCUUCCCUACUGCUCUUAGGUCACACCUGUUUCAAAAGUGAGUCCAGACUUAAAUCUUGACAGAGAUCAUGACCUUACUUCAACCAAUGGCUGUUUUAUCCUGGCACUCAGUGGGACCAGGUAUCAGGUCUACGUAUUUUCAGCUGAACAUGUCUUUGUCUCUCUUCUCACUCCAGAGUGUAGUAUUUCUAUUUCUGAGUUUUCAUUCCUCUUUUCCUCUGAACAUUCUUUGAAUGCUUGAAUCUUUAAGCAAUAAAUUUGCCCUUGAGUAUUAGAAAAUAUGAGGAAGUAACGCUUUCCUACUGAGUAGAUAAGGUUGAGUUGGGGUUAGUCUCCAUAACUUUGUGUUUUCAUAUACUUCUGUUUUCAUCAUAAAAUAUCUUUUGUUUUGAUAAAAUGAAACAGCAAGUGAAACAAAACAAAACAAACAAAAAAAGAAUGAGUCCAGUCUGUGGAAACUCAGGGAAUAAGGUGGUUAUGUUUUGACCUACAAAGAUAGGGCCCAGAAGUGCAGAGGCAGAAAAAAAGCAGUCUUUAAAAGGAAAUGCUUUCUAGCUCUCUAAUGACUUAUUCUGUUAUCAUCACUGAAGUUAACAAUGGAUUCCUUCCUUUAAAAACAAAAAAAAAAAUCUUUGAUGUUACGUAAAUAAAAUGCUCACAUCCACAUCCAACAAAAAUAUUAAUUUGGAGGUAGGUAUGCCACAGUUGUGUCUAGAGUUUGCUGUGUUUUUGUUGUAAGCCUGACAGACACAGUAAUUAGGCCUUUCCGAGGUAAAAAAUGUUUGGAUACCUCUAAGUUGAAAGCAUUUGAAAAAAUGGCAGCCAGUAGAUGACUGUUGGUAAUAGAUUUUUUUCCUAUGUUAUGCUACUUGGAGAACCCAGGCUGAACAUAGGAGGAGACACUGUGCUGCAAACUUGGUUUGGUGAUGGUUGAAACACGGCUGAUGAAUCUUUGGGUAAAUCUCCUGUUCAUGAACUCUAAUAAUGGCAAUAUAUUAUGGAUCUCACUUACAGUUCCUGCAUGCAAGUGCAAGAAUACAUACACACCAUCUUAGCUGAACUGAAUUGUUAGUGAAGCCAUCUCCAGCGGUGCUAUUCUUUUCUUAUUACUCUUUUGAAACUCAAACCUGCAGUUGUUUAUAACUCACUGAUGAGACUACAAGUUCAUUGUCUCUCCCAAGACUGGUAAGGUUGUAUCCCUUUCCCUCUAGCUUUGGCUUAACUCCACUCAUGUAAACUUUAUGUACCCAUCCUUUUUGUGUGGGAGCAGAAAUUUUGGUGCAUAUCAAUGCCUUAUUUGCUCCGCUAUAGUCACGUGUUUGCAGCAAGUAUUUUCUGUAAACAGACAGUGAAUAGCGCACUUGUCUUGCAGUUGGUCUUGUCUUGGAUUUCUUGGCAUUACACUCACUAUUCCUAAUAUUUUUGUGGUAUUGGAGAGACACUUGUAAAUAUCAAAUAAAUAAGUAGCCUCCCAUGGUGUCUCUUUUUGUAGUGUCAGUUUGUAUUUAGUAUGUUAGCUGAAUAUGAGAACAAAAUGGAAGAUACGAAUACUAAGCACUGCCUUCCAAAAUACUUUCCCCUGUUUUAUGAGAGUAAUCUCAUUUAUUUUAGAAGAAACAAGUAAAUGGCAUACCAAGGGGCCCAAUCAGGCAAGUGAUAUUUGAUUUCACAAAGCAGAUUCUCAUGUUAUGACGCAUUUGCAAGGAGCAGGAUGGAAUAAUAAUGCUGUGCAGAACAACUUGCUUGUGUGCUUUCAAAUAGAGUAGAUCAUCUGAAAGCCACGGGACCAAGCAAAAGCUGAGACUGGUGGACUGGUUGGAGAGCUGUGCAAACCAGGGCAUGACACCUGUUUGUCCAGUUCUCCAAAGGGAUUUUCCAAAGUUUCAAGUGUUGCCAGCAGUUGGUUGCCUUCUUUGCUCAAUCAUUAUUUACAAUGUUUUCAGUUUGAUGGUGUUUGUAAGGAGAGGUAAUAUCCUUUAUUCAAACCACCUCUCUCCCUUGGCUUUUUGAUAGCCUUAGGCAGUCCUGGCUCCCUCAUGUUCUAUAAUUCUCUGAUAUUGUUGUUGACUCUAAUGGUGGUUAAGAGCAUGCAAAAUAGUCAGAAGCCCAACAGGAUUUUGAAUCGAUAGUGUUCCAUAGUUUAAGAUUUCUAUAUGGAUCAAACAUUUCUAAUACAUAGAAAGCUAGAGGAAAUCUCAGGCAGUGAAUUUCUGGCUGUACUCCUGUGUUGCUUAAUGAUGGAUACCAAUAAAUUCAGUUAUACUCUAGGCUUGUUGCAAUUGUUGGCUUGCAACACUGCCAAUCACACUGGGAGGAGACAAAACAGAAAAAACAGUGUUUUCUCAGGCAGAAAAAUCACUUUACUGAGUACGGUGUGGUGUUUUGUUUCACCCUUAAAGAGUCAGCUCAAAGAUCCCCUGUAUGUUUAUGAUGCAUACUAGUGUUCACUGGUAUUUAUUUUAAUACCUUGUAUUACCAAAACUUCUUUUGUGCCUUGAACUUCAUGCUGUAGGCUGAAAAGUGGACUUAUGCAGCCAGAACACUGAACACAAGCCUCCUGAAAAGUGUUUGUAUUUUAAGAUGGUACUCCUGCACACUUUGACGUACUAGCAGAUCUGAUAAGCUUUGGGAGAAAAUAGCAUAGUAUGGUGCUAUUACAUGAGGAACUGGUAUUCUAUUGAAGAGAAGUCAUUCCAUAAUGUGAUUUUUUAGAAACUAUUUUUCUGGCUGUGUUUGCUUAGAUGAAUGAAACAAACUUCAGUGAAACAAACUGAGCAUAGUCAUAAAUGCAAAUUCAGUAAUAAAUGUCCGUGUGGAACACAGACUUCCCACAAAAGCAUUUUAUUGUUUAAUUCACAGGGUGAAAGGAUACAUUUGUUUUCAAAUAUAGCUGUUAGUUGUAAAAGCUAUGGUUUGGGACAUAGAAGUUGUUCUUUUGGUGAAAAGUGUGUAAAAUCUUUCAUGCACAUUCAUUGUGUUUUAAGCCCCAAGGUCAGAAUUCAGAACCUGGCAAUUCCGAUAAGAAUGAGAAACUGAUGAUAGAAAUGAAAUGUAUUUUGGGGGCAGUUUUGCAGCCAUGUGCUUUAUUUUACAGAGCAAGUAUGCAAUUUUGCUUCAACAAACACAGGCAAAAGUCAUCAGAGCUUUUCUUUCUUCUCCCUUCCCCUCCCUUUUCUUUCCCCUUUUCUCUUUUUUUCCUUUCUUUCUUCUUUUUCCAGAAAUACCCAAAAUGGUUAUACUUGCAAGUAGCAUUCAAAAAAAGCUUCAUCCUCCCAGUGUCAAUGCACAACAUUCCUCUUUGCUCUUACACCCCCUUUACUUGCAUUUUCCUAGAUUAUCGUUCUCUAUUGGUCUACAAUCACAAACAGCAGUAACAGCAACAAACAACAAAAAACAACAAAGAAACAACAAAACACCCUCUGUUCAUCCGUUAGAUUCAGUUCUACACAGUCCCCAACAACUUGGACUGUCACUCCUUUUGCGUGCUAAUGUUUUAAACACCUGGUCGCCCUAGUUUUUGAGCCAUAAAGACUAAAUGCAUGUGCCGGCUUCCAUGAAGCCUGUGAUGGUUUCUUGAUUCUGGAUGAUACCCACACCUUCCUUAUACCUGUUAGAGUUUGCGUCAUAUCCAUGCACACACAUACCCAUUUUUUAGAAACGAUAGAGAGGCUUUUUGUCACUCCUUAAUCCUUUGUCAAAGGGUAGAAAAUGCAGUGUUUUUCUGUGUGAGCUGGGUGGACAUCAGAGACUCUUCUCUUUCUUUGGGUCCCACAGCCCUGCUUUGAAAUAUUUUUAAAGAGAUGAAUAGGGUGUAGUUGUAGCUUUAAAACGAUGAACUUUGCACAUCACUGCAAUAAAUGGUUCUCCUUUUUAUUCUGGGGUCCAAGUUGAGAUAAUACACAGAAGUAAAGAAAAAAAUCUGGAUGUCUUCUAAUUUAUUGUCUCCUGACUUUUUUUCCUCCCUUUAAUUUAUUUUUGGAGUCUGGGAAGAAAAGCAUGCCAGAAAGGCCCAGUGUAUUGAUGUGUGAAAUUGAAGUAGUUGAUGAUUCUUAUGAUCCAGACACCAUGCCCUUUGACGGGGUUAACAUAAAAAGAAACAUACUGGAAAACACACACUUAAAUAUGAAAAAUUCCUUAAAUUCAGGGUGUGUUCAUGCAAAGUGAAAUUUUUACAGUGUGGAAAGCAUUAAACCUGAUCCAGAAAAAACGUUAGGUGCCCUAGCCAUUGAGAUGUGAAUCUCUUUAAUCCACGCAAGCAUUAGAAAAAUCUGAAACAUGUGAAAGUUCAAAAGCUGCAAAGCCAUUACAUGACUCCUUAUUCAUUUCUCAAAUAUUGUGACUUUCUAUUGAACUGUGAAAAGGCUUCUUCUUGUAUUUUUUUCCCGUUUCAUGAGCAAUAUAUCAGUCACUCACAAAUGCGUUAUUCCGCAUUGUGAAGCUGAAAGUGAGUUUCAUUUGGUUGUGUCUACUUGGGUAUAAAUCUUUGAUUUAUUUCUGAGCAUUUAUGUAGCAUUUCAGAAGUUGGUCACUUGCACCUUUUCAGCAUUUGCUGUUGGAGAAGGGGAAAAGGCAAGUAUUAGUGGAAUGUCAAUGUUGUUUUUCUUAAGAUCUCUUAGACUUUUUUUUUUUUUUUUUUUUUAGUCUGUUUGCUCGAAUGCAGUACUUACGGAGAUAGAGUUGCUGAGAGGUAAGCUAGAGAUUGCUGUUACAGUGCAGUGUCUGAAAAAUGGCUCUUUAUAUAGGGCAACAACCUUAACGGAGAGCAGAAGGUUUCACACUGGUUUGUCACCUGAAAAUGGGACUUAUUUUUAUCAGUGAAACUCCUGUGAGAAGAUCAUGCAGUGCCAGAGAGCCAUUGGAGCUGUUGCUUUUUUUUAAAUGAUAGCAACUGCAGAAUCUGAUGGAGACUUCCUGAGUCCCUACCGUCCUCUUCUCCCCCCCCCCCCCAAAAAAAAAAAAGUCUUAAAAAGACAGAGAAGCCUGUUAUCUAUAUGAAAAUAGCUGUCAACCUGAAUUUCACUAACUUGCCAGAAGAUGUAUCAAACAGUGAAGAUAGUCAGCUAAUUUCUGGGUCUCCUGAGAAGACCACACUCUCAAGUGAUGGACUUCAUUUAGAGUUUGUAAUCUAAGGAAAAUAUAUGACUCAAACCUCUGCCAAGGCCCAAAGAGCUUAAAUGUAAAUAUGAGAUAAGGACUAGCUGUAGUCAUGCCAAGGAAUUGCAGCAAAACAAAGGCUUAUUGAUCAAAAAGGUCAUGGAAAAGAGGACAAGGCUUAAAGAAACUAGAUUUAUUUUUAUUUUUAUUUUUUUGAGUUGAAUGCAAAAAUAGUAACCCAAAGAUGGAGUUCUGUAUGGCAGGCAUCUGUCAAAUGCAUUCUUUUAUUUGUCUGCACAAAUAAAGUGAAUAUCUAUAAUUCUCUUGUUUCAUAGAAUGACUUCCAACCAUAGUCUCCAGAGUCUUGAAAUAGCAAAUAUGUCCCUCUGAUUAAAAUGGAGAAUGUGACAACAGAAAAUGCAGUACUGUGCCUGGGUCUUCCACUUGAUGCUGUUGGGCUUCUCAUGUCUUGUAGGGAUAUGUGUAAGGCUGCUCACAUAUUAUGGUAGGCAGUGGCUACUGAUCUAUUACUGUGGUACGUAAACCUUCUCAAGGGUUUGAAAUAAAUACCUGCUGUUGACUUCAUUUCCUUGGUGAAGAAGGCUUUUUUUUCUUAUAUGUCUGGUGAAGGUUGUAUAGGAAAUGGUGCAAUACUUGCUAUCUAGGAUCCACAAGUUGUCAACCUUUCGUAUCAUGAAAAACAGAAAUAAAGGACAAAUUUCUAUUGCGAGACUGCUGGAAAAAGAUUGUAAAUCACAGAGAUCCUAGUGUCAUCGACUGACAACAAUCUGCUAAGUGAUGUUUGUGUUUUAGGGGCAAGCGGAAAAAGAACAUUCCCUGCGAAUGACAACUGCCCAUCUCAUAAUGUCAUAUUGCCAUUAUCUAUGAAUAAAGAAAAAGGCCCAUUAUGUUAUGUCUAACUAGAAAGAAACUUAACAAAGAAACACACUGUGUUGUUAAGGAGAGGAAGGAGAGCCUUGUGGUUAGGGCACAGGAGAUGUUGAUUCAAAUUUCUGGCUCUGCAAGAGCCUUCCUCUGUGACCUUGAGUGACUGGUGUACUGCUUCACUCUAAAUGGCAACAGUACCCAAGCAGGAGAGAGAUGGGUGCUGAGAUGGGAAAAAGACCUCUUGAAAAACUGGCAUAAAAAUAGGAGCUACAUAGUUUGGAGUCUUCUUAUUUCUUUUAUUUUUUUUUUCCUUUUUUUUUUUUUUAUUGUUGGGAUAAUGUCAAAUAUUAAUAAUUUAAUAUUAAUAAUAAUUAAUAAACCCAGUAAUAUUAAAACUGGAUUUGCUUCUUACAGAAUGAGAAGACAGUUUGGGCCACAGUCAGAAUUUGAUCAAGACUUGGGAAUUUUGAGGUUCAGACUUGUGGGCUAAAUGCAUCUCUACCCAGAAUAAGAUUACAGUCUGUGAUGAAGUAUGUUUUCAAUUAUACUCUGUUAGAAAAGUAAUGUGAAAUUUAUCUUAAGUUGUCACGGUGCUUCAAAGCAUGGGCUUUUCUCUUUCUAAGUCCUUGAACAAAUGCAGGAUGUGUUGAGGCAAAACUGUUUCCAAUUAAGUUGAUGCAUAAUGCUCUUUAAUGUUUCAGGACUUCAAGUUUAACUUAAAGAAAAAUGCUUUAGCCAGAGUUCAGAAGGAUAAUUCAGAUAAAAUUUCCUGGAAAGAAGUCAUUUGCCUGAACUCGUGUGGCUGCAGUAUGUUGGGAGCUCAGUUAGCACAGUGUGACACAUAGCUAUGAAUCUCAUCACAACCAUGCUGACAAAUGUAAAGAUGCAACUCUGUGUUACAUUACUGCGUUUUUAUUCUGUAUUGAAGAACCAACUUCAGCUCCCUUGUCAAGUAAGGGGCACUUAAAGCAUAUACUGAAUUAAGAGAAAUAAAAGUGAUUCCAGGAAAUGCCUGAGCUGCUUGCAUCCUGUAUAAAUUUUUUUGCUGCCUUAAGUGUGUGUUGUUCAGAAGAACGAAUUUCUGGUGUUCCAAGGCUUGUUUUUUUUCUGCCCAUCUGAAACAUCCCUGUUCAUCACUCAUCAUCCUGUGGAGUGCUAGCCUGAAAACUUAUGUCACGCUCAAGAUUAACAAGGGAUUAAGAGUGAGCAAUGGAUUUUCCAGGUAAAUUUAUGUACACGCACCGCAAAUUAUUUGUUCAGGUUUGAUUCUCCUGCUCUUGUUUGUCAGUUUUUGGAGCUGUUGCUGCAGGGAUUUCUGAACUGCUUUGGCAAUUUUCUGUAUGCUCUUCCAAAUACCUGCCACCUCCAUCCCUGCUCCCCCUGUACAGACACUUUCCUGCUGAAGCCCAACCAGUUAGGUUACGCCAAAGUUGAAUUUCACUCACGGAUGUUGGCUGCUCUGCAAUGCCUUGACUGCUCAAUUUUCUUUUCCCUCAAGGCCAAAAUUAAGUCUGAUUAGAACACAUACUAAAAACUGGAUUUGGCAAAGGUAAAAUAUAUGUGAAAAUGAUGAUAAAAUAAAUCCUUUCAUUUUCACGACGCCAAAUAAGCAACAAAAGUCACGUGACAUAGGAAAAAUGCCCAGUUUAUCACCUUGGCCAAAAUCUUGUCACACGAGCAUGUUUGGCAGUCAGUGCUGAACGGAUUAUGAAUUUUUUAAUCUUGCAGAAAAACAAUUUUUAAUUUUGAAGAAUGAGGAUCAUUGUGGAUAAAGAUGGCACUGGAAGAAUCCUUCUAAGCGUUGUGUAUGUAGUUGGAAGGAGUUUGUGCAAGUAUUCAGUAAUGCAUUAAGCAUUUGUAGGAAGCAAUAAGAACGAAUACUCAAAAUUACUGCAUAUCUUUGCUGAAGAUCAGAACAUUACUUUAACUUAUCUUGACAAAAGGAAUCUUUUCUGUGGUAGUCUUUUCCCUACUGAUGAAGUGUGCCAUACCUUGUAUGUGUAACUGUGCAGUGACACAGGCUAUAAGAAGAAAAAAGCUUGGAUUUCAGAUUUCUACUUGCUUUUGGUGUGCUUAAUACCAGUGUUAACAAAUUAGGUCACAUAGAAACUGAAGUAUUGCUUUGGUUAUGGAUCCAGUUAUCUUGUUGGCCAGAACCAUGACCUUACUUAUGCUUGGUUAUCUUAAAAGCAGUAUCCUUAUUUUUUUUUUUUUUUUCCUAGAAAAGCAAAAUCAAACCUCUCUUAUAUUUAACUUCUUAAAGUUAUUGAUUGCAAGCUAUUUUAAAUAAACUUAGUGACUCAGAAGAUGCUGGAAAUUUGAAGUAUUUUGAUAUAUGCACCAUAGGAUAAUUGUUCUACUUCACGGUGAUAUUUAGCUAUAUUACCCAUGACAAGUGUGCUGUUUCCCUUCUCUGUGCUUGUAACUCUAGGAGUAUCUUCUGUUCAUCUGAAGAUGGUAAGCUCAUCUCUUGGUGUAAAUAAAGAUGGUAUGCUCAUCUCUUGGUAUAAAUAAAGAUGAUAUGCUCUUCUCUUAGUAAAAACAAGAAAACCCAGGAAGAAUAACGACAGUGUGAUAUGGAUUUUUGUAGAGUUGGGGAUAGUAUUAUGAAUAUUCUCAUAACAGGAGACAAGAAAAAAAAAGAAAAAAAAGAAAAAAAAGAUGGGGGGAGAGGCAUUUACUUUGCUUGGGGAAAGUAUGAAAAGAUAUCAUUCUGGACAUCUGGACUGUGACUGAUUUCUGCCCAGCAGGUUUCAAAUUUUGCAGUUGUGUGUAGAACUGCAUCUUGGUCACCACUUUGAAUUAUUUAUUGUCUUACUGAGUGAGUCCUGUCUACUUUCUUAGCCAUAGCAGAAAUAUAUUUCAGUGAUAUGUCAAGAUGAGACUAUUUGAAUGAACAGAUUUUGAGAGAAGGGGAAGAAAAGUUAAAAAUAUCUCAGUGACAGAGGAGCAAAACCAUUUGAUAUAAAUGAACAGAUGCCUGAAUGAAGAAAUCUCCUUCUAAACCAAUGGAUUUAAGACAUUGUUAUUACUUAACAUUUAUUCCAGUAUUUAAUUCACAUGCAUUAUUAUUUACUGUGAGCAUCCAUUCUGAAAUUAUUCUGUAAUUUGCUCCUGUAAAUGUUGUACUAGUUUCCUCCACACAAAGGACUGAAUGAUUUUCACAAUAAAUUGUACACAUUGUGGGAAAAAUCAUAGAAUGGCCUGGGUUGAAAAGGACCUCAAAGAUCAUCUAGUUUCAACCCCCCUGCUGUGGGCAGGGUCACCAACCACUAGACCAGGCCGCCCAGAGCCACAUCCAGCCUGGCCUUGAAUGCCUUAGGGAUGGGGCAUCCACAACCUCUGUGACAUUGCACUCUACCGUGCAUUAUGGUGGAGUGCAACUUAUUUUUACCAUCUCUGUCUUUCAAAAGUCUUUAAAACUUAUUUAGAGGAGAAAUUGCAGCUGCUUUUGUCUGAAACGUGUUUGUAUGACUAGCAAAUAUGACUAGUAGCAUGACUCUGCUUUAAAAUAACAGUGACCUAGAUCUUGCAAUAAUGGACAUUAUCUCAGUAGUCAUAGUUGGGAACAUUUGAAUGGUUCAGUUUUGCAUUAAGUGAGACCUUACACAGAUUAUAUGGCAGCAAGGAGAUCCCUAAUAAUCAGAACUGUUGUGCAUUAUUGACAUGUGAUUUCAGACAGUUUAAAUGCCAUCUGUAUCUUUUCAAACUUUAAAUAAAUAGAGCAUAUCAGUAAGUGGUAUGGGUGAGAGAGAGAACUUAUGGAUUUUACAAUAGCUUAACUCAAUCAAGACCAUUUCCAACAAGUGGUACAUGUUUAUCAUGGCACAAAACAGAGUUCAAGCAUUUCAGAGACUCUGCCUGGUCUGUCUUUUGUCAGAAAGGUAGAAUUGUGAACUGUCUUUAAUUAACUGUUAUCAUACACUUUUACCCACCUGUUGAUUGCUGCUUAGUGAUACUAAUUUGAUUUUAAGCACAUUUAGACAGAGCAAUGUCUGUUUUGACAAAAGUAUCUUCACACAGGAUAUUUGUUGCCAGCACAUCAAUAGUUUGAGUGUAGCACCCUACUCUGAAUACUGUCUGGUGAUCAUGGCUUUAGCCAGCGAACAGUGAACUGCAUGUGUCACCUCAGUGAGUUAUUCAGGUUCCCAAAGGUACAGGUGCACCAGGAAAAGUUUGAUAAGUGACUGAUCGCAGUACUUUGCUACUUCCCUUUCCUCCUUUCUGUAUUCCCUUCCCCUCCUCAUUUUGUAGCUAUCUAGCAAGAAAAAUAUACUGAUUUUAGCCCUUAAUUAUCAUUGAGAGAAUCAUGGACCAAGAGCAUCACUGUUGCAUUGCUGUGCACUAGUCAGAUUUUUAUAUGCUUUUUUUUAGUAUAUAACUUUGUGGCCAGUUUUUGAUCAUUGAAACAGAAGACAUUCAGAGAGUAACACGUCAGCAUUUUAAGGUGCUCAAUUGUCUGUGUUACUUUAACAGCACAUAAAUGAUCACUGCAUUCCAUCAAAAUGCUUAUCUUUUGGUGGAGUUAGAACUGUAUCUAAAGCAGUAAAAGGGGAUGUGUCAGUGCCUAAUGCUUUAAAUCAGGCCUUUACAUGAAUUCAUGGAUGAGCUUACUUGGAAAAUAUUGAUUGUCAUUGGAAGACAGAAGCUGGACAAAAUUACCAGCAAAUCCUCUCAGCAAAGUAAAUCUGUUGACUGUCAGCUGUCCUAGAUUCUAGAGUGCAAAACAGCUCAGCCAGCUGCUGAGCAUCAGUGGCUCAGAGAAUUGGGGAAAUCAGGUUCUGUUUGUAAGGAUAAUUGGAUUCCAUUUUGGGGAAUUUGCAAACUUUUAAUAUUUUAAAUAUUAAGUAAAGGAGAAGUAGUUUGUUUCCACUGUUGUGUCUGGAGGACCAAAGGAUUAUUUUUUUUUCUCUGGUUUUAAUCCCUUAGGACCUCCCUUAGGACUUUAGCGUCCAUGUUGCUUUACAAAGGCCUCUUUUGUUGUCCUUGAGAAGGACUUGACUUAUCCCCAACCUUCCACCCACUCCCAUAAGUGGGUGAGUAGAAAGUGUACAGAGAGAGCAAUGGUUCCAUAAGGGAAAGCAGACAUUACCUCCAGGAUCCCAAAAUCACAAGUCCCACCUCAACAGCCCUCCCUUUUAUCACUGCUAAGGUUUCAGUGAGGCUUGAGACUAUAGCAAGAGUAAACACACGAUUUAUUUUAUUUUUUUAAAUUUUAUUAUUAUUAUUAAGUCAUAAAAAUCUCCCACUAUUUCCUCCUGAGGAUCCGUGAUGUUUUCCUGCAGGCCAGUAGAGGAGUGUAUUUGCAGCAGUAAGUCUAUUUGGUUUUGUCUCAGACACAGUGCUAAACAAACGGAUUCUUUUUCAUCCUUCUAAACUGAUUUUAUGAGAGGGCUCUCUUUCUUCUGAACCCAAACUGAUAUGGAUAAUAACUCAUAUCCUCUUUGACUGCUUUUUCCAGUUCUCCAUGAAUAGCUGGUAAUCAUCUUGAUCUUUCAACCCUAUAUUUGGACUGCUACCCCAUUCCUAAGGAUGUACAAGGGAUGUUCUGAAAAUAAUGCCUCCUAUUUGUUUAGGUUGACUGACAACGUCAGAGGCAAAUGUUGGUGGUAUGGCAGUAAAGGCUGAAAUUUCCCACCAGUAUUCCAUUAUGUUUUGUUGCUGUGUGACAGACGGCAGCAGAGGAGCAGUCUGACAAGGAGGUUUGUAUGAAGCAAAGGUGUGUCAAUGAAUUCCUCCACGUGGAAAACAUUACACCCACUGACAUUCAUCGAUGCUUGCUGAAUGUUUAUGGAAACCAAACAGUGGAUGUGAACUCAAUGAGGCAGUGGGUGGUGUGUUUCAGCAGUGGUGACAGUGAAAGUGAUUCACCUCUUUUGGUGCAUAUCUUUAGAAGUGCAGCAUGCAGGCUCUUGUUCAUGGAUGGUGAAAUGUGGAGCUCAUGGUGGUCACUGUGUUAAAAAAUAGUGUUUUCUAGCUUAGAAUUUGCUUUAUCAAAUAGUGUUAUUGUGCUCCUUGUAUCUGGUGCAUUUUCUAUGUAAAUAAAUAGGAGGCAUUAUUUUCAGAGUGACGUACAUAGACCAAUUAUAUUAAUUAAGCAGCAUUGUGUAAGCAGUUUUUUCCAAAACCAUCAUGGUUUCUUCUCAUCCAAAUAUCACAUAAUAAAAGUGAUAUGAUGAAAAGAAUAUUCUCCAUCAUUUUUACUCAGGAAAAUAGGUUUGAAAUGUACGAAUCAUAGAAUCAUAGAAUGGACAUUACUUUUCCUGAAAGCCAGAACUGGAACACUCCCCUUAAAAGUAAUAAAAAUUAUUACAAUCAGUUUAAAGGAAAAGGUUUAUAUACAGAUAAUAUAUAUUAACGUUUUAUAUACAUAUAAGGUGGAGGCAGAGGAAUUGAGUUCAUCUGGGUGUCAGUGAGGCUACAGAAUCCAGAGCUGGGAUGGAAAACACUUGCAAGAGUAUCAUUCUCAGGGACAAAGACAAAGUGAGGGAUCCAGAGGAAAAUGUGAAGGAGAGAACUAUGGAAGAUCCCUAUGACCUUGAAAAAGAGUAUAGAUGGAAAUUCAGAGGAAUGGGUUUUUUUUUCUACAUAUCCAAUGUAAGGAACAGAGGAAAUCUUGAAAAGCUGGACCCCAGACAUGCAGAAAACCUGAUCAGUUACUCAUAAUUACCUGGAUAAAAUUCAUGCUCUUGAAUAAGACUGAUAGAUACACAACUUCUGUCAGAAAAAAAGUAUAUUUAACUAUGUGAAUCUGAUUAAAAGUUACUACACUGGGACAAUAAAAAUAAGCAACAAACAUAUUAGCUUAAAAAUAUAAUGAAUAAUUGUAAAAAAGGAGAAUUUCAAUCUUAAUUAUUUGACUUUAGGGUCAAAUUCUGAGUGCAAUUAUAGAAAGUUCAUUGAAGACAAUAAAUAAAAAAAAGAAACAAAUGAGGGGGAAAAAUGGUGCUUCUGUGAGAUUCUGUAUAACUGUGCAUUUUUUUUUCUCAAAGAUUGAGGUUAAUCUUUUGUAGUUAUAUUUUAACUUAAUCUGUUUUGAUUUAUAAAAGGUAUUAAAUUUUCUUUUCUUACUCCUGCACCUCCAGUACAAAAUUUUACAUUCAGUAUUCAUUCCAAACAUGGAUAAUUUCAUUUCCCCUUACUCUUUUCCAUGCAUAGAACAAGCACCAUUGGUUAGACUGACAGAGCUUACUGGUUGCUCAGAAGCAACAUACGGUCACCCUAGAGCUUUCCUUUGAAAAGUCUGAGGCCCUUGCAUUAUGUCCUUCUGCCUUGUAUCAUCUUUUCUCUUGAAUGGAGUGACGUUACUUCCUAAAGCAACUGUGUUCUGUGAAGAGUUCUGAGUAGUGUGUUGAUUCCGCUGAGAGGAAUAUAUGCUAUGAGACAGCCUGACUUCACAGAACAACUAUUUAUGUCACAGAAAAUAAGUCCCUUGGCAGAGAUAUACCAAAAUAAAUUCUUUCAGAAAUCAAUGGUCGUGACUUUUGAAGAUAAAAUUGAGCUUUUCUAAUGUUAAUAAAUUUAAGUUAAAUUAUGAUUUUUUUUUUUUUGAGUUUUGUGAAAUAAAUUUACUUACUUCUUGAAGCUGCCUGUCAGUAAUACAGAGGACCUGGGAAUAAGAGAACUGCUCAUCUCUAAUGAUCUUUGCAUGUACUUCUCCCGCAGGUCAUUGUUAGAAACCAGUUUUUUCUUUAGAGUGAACCAGUACUUCAGCUCCUGCGUAAAGCAUUGCUUGUCCCUUAAACAUAGGCUUUCACCUGUCAACUCAAAUUUGCCUGCUCAAAUAUGUAUUUGUAUUGUGUUGCCAGUGCACAGUUUAGAGUGCAAUUCUUUAGGGCAGUAUUAGUACUUUCCUUGCAAGAAAUAGUAUCUUCCUUGUAACAACUGCACUUUGUGUAAAGCCUAGGGCAUUGCAACACUGAAUAGAAGGAAAAUACUUGUUUUGCCCUUACUGUACAAGUGAGAAGUGGGAUGUAUUCAAAGACAGAGACUUAUUUGUUUAUGAUUUCUAUCAGUGAUUGCUUAUCAUAAAUAUCUUCAUUUUUCUGAUUUUUCUCAUGGUAGACUGAAAUGGAGUAUUAGUAAUAGUUUGAGAUGCCUUUCUUGUGUAGCUGACAUUCUCAAAUCUAAAGCUUAAUUCCUGGAUGGGAAAUGUUGUCUGCAGUUUUGGGAAUAGAUUGGUAUCUGUAGGACAGGGCCUAAAGAAUAAAGAGGAAAAGACCAUCUAUUAUCAAUAAUCUUAAGGAUACCAAAGCUGAAAGAAUUCUUUUUAACAAGGGAAUGUCUUACCAGUGGAGAGCAAAAGCAGAAUGAUGAGAUCUUAUUUAAGUUAAAUGCUUUUUAGUAAACAAAUUGAGCGGUCAUUUAUCAAAACAUUGAUUAGUAAAAGGUUUGCACCGUUCUUAUAGUGUGUCCACUGAUGGAUGUUAUCUUAGGAGAUGGCAAAUAAUCUUGCAGAGUGGCUGGAACCGUUUGAACUCAUCAGCAUGAUAUCAGCAAGUAAAGCGUCAGCAGUGCUCUUGUCUAAGAAUGUUUUGUUGGCGCAACUCAGUGUACAAGACUGACUCUGGUUCUAGGUGGAGGGGAAUGACAGCUUGGUGGACUACCUUGGACAACUGAUACAUUACAGAUACAGAAGAGUACAACCAUGCAGGAAAACACUGAAAUCUUGUUGAUGAAUUUAUUCAAACAGUGGACUUUUAAGGCUCAGGAUAUGUUUUAGAAGAUACUAGUAUUAAUAUAGUAUGUUCAACUGUCUCCAUCAGACAAGCACAGUAUCUGAUUCUUAUCUGUGAGAGUUUUAGAAAAUGACUUAGCCGCUUAUGUGCUUGAGUAGUUAUGCCAGCAUAGUGCUGCAUAACUCAAGGUCAGGAGUUACUGACAAGAUGUCAGUGUUUGCCUGUGCUUGUUGCAGCACGGGGACUUGUGAUAUGUCAAGCUGCUGCUCUUUUGCAAGUGAGAAGUAUCAUCAGAUGCAAUGAGCCAGUUUUUAUCCUGUAAAUCCUUGGAGCAGCAGCUACAAAUUCUGUUCUUGUGCUGCCGUGGUGUGAAAAGGGGAAUGGUACUCUUUAAUAAUACCAAAUGUAUUCAUGCUUGCCAAAAUCUAUUUCAUAGUUUAUUUUAUUUUAUUUUAUUUUAUUUUGUUUUGUUUUUUAUUUAGAAGUCAUUUGCAGAUCUUCAACCUGGAUUACUUGAAAUAGCACAGCUGACACUGAUACAGUAUUUUUUUAAAGCUGGUACAAUCUGCACCUUUUUGCAAAAGCCUGCUGGGUAAUAGCAGAAACAAACAAUGGAAACGAGGCCGAUCAGUGUGAGAGAACAAACAUAAAUCUAAGAUGCUGAAUCCUUGGGAGACAGGAGUAGCUUCCAUUAUGAAUAAUUCUUCCUUUCUUAAUUUAUUUCCUGUCUCCCUCCCCCAGUGUUUCUGUUACUCUAUAGGACAUCCUGUUACUCAUUUAGAUCAAUAGUAGACUCUCAACAUAUUUGAUUUUCUGUUCUUCAUUCAGUUUUACAGACAGAAUAGUCAGGAGGGUGUGGACAGUAAAGGGAAACAAACAGCAAUGCUAAUUUCAGUAUUUCUUCAUUUUGAAAACCUUGUUUUACAUUUUCUUUAUAUUCAAUCUUUGCAUACAGAGUAGUAUACUAUUUAAAUGUGCAUUUUAAGUGAUUAUGAUCUGGCUGAAAAUAUUGUCACAAUGAGUUCUGGAGAUAAAAUGAGGGGCUAAAUGAUGGUGCUUUGUUUUGGAAAGUCUGUAUCAUUUAGUUCUGGCUUAAUAAAUGGCGCACUAUGUCAUGAAGUCUUCAUGAGCUUUAGAAAAACUGUAUUGUUCUGUAUAUAGCUAGAAAGAUUACUGACAGGAUUUUUGACCAGCUUCUGGGUCAUAACACCACCAUUUCCAAGGUCAGAUUUGAUUUUUGCUGCUUAGGUUGAUUUUCAGAAUGGGUACUGAAAGGGGUAGUGCUUGUAUGUAAGUCACUCUGAAAGUAAUGCCUCCUAUUUAUUUCUAUGGAAGAGAGCACAAUCACACUAUUUGAUAGAGCCAAAUUCUCAGGCAUCAAUGAAUGCCAGUGGGUAUCAUUUUUUUCCACAUGAAGGAAUUCAGUGACACACCUUUGCUUCACAUGCACUUCCAUGUCAGAUGGUAUUCUGACAGACUGCCCCUCUGCUGCUCUCACAUCAACGAAAUAUAACAAAAUAUUGGUAGGAAGUUUCAGUCUCUACUGCCAUAUCACCAACAUCCACCUCUGAUGUCAUGAGCCAGCAUAAAGUAGGAGGCAUUAUUUUCAGAGCACUCUCCUAGGAUAGUCACAAAUAACACAAUCUCAUCCCUUCUGAAUUUCACAGAAGAUCAUUUAUUUUUGCUUCCCCAAAUAUCUUUUGAUUUCCUGGAAUUCUUAGGCUUAUGCUUUUAAUCCCUUUUCCGCAUGCAGAACUGACUAUGGGUAGGAAUCUAUUCCUACAUCUUCAUGGGUAUUUUCACAGUGCAGUUGUUGAUCAUAGAAUCAUAGAAUCACGAAGGUUGGAAAAGUCCAACUGUCUACCAAUCAUCAAUAUAUCCCACUAACCAUGUCCCUCAGUACAAAACCUAAACAUUUCUUGAACACCUCCAGGGAUGAUGACUUCACUACCUCCCUGAGCAGCCCAUUCCAGUGCCUGACCACUCUCUCAGAUAAAUAGUUCCUAACAUCCAAUCUGAAUCUCCCCUGGUGCAACUUGAGGCCAUUCCCUCUAGUCCUAUAGCUAGUUACAUGGGAGAAGAGGCUGACGCCCACCUCACCACAACCUUCCUUCAGGUAGCUAUAGAGAGUGAUAAGGUCUUCCCUGAGCCUCCUCUUCUCCAGACUAAACAAUCACAGUUCCCUCAGGCACUUCUCAUAAGACCUGUGCUAGAAAACCCUCACCAGCUUUCUUGCCCUUCUCUUGACACGCUCCUGGGCCUCAAUCUCUUUCUUGUAGUGACAGGCCCAAAACUGAACACAGUACUUAAGGUGCAGCCUCACCAGGGCUGAGUACAGAGGGAUGAUUUCUUCCCUGCACCUGAUGGCAACACCAUUUCUGAUACAAGCCAGAAUGCCGUUGGCCUUCUUUGCCACCUGGGCAUACUGCUGGAUCAUGUUCAGCCAAGUGUCAACCAAAUCUUCCAGAUCCAUUUCUUCUACAGAGUCUUCUAGCCAUUCUGCCUCAAGCCUGCAGUGUUGCCUGAGAUUGCUGUGGCCAAAGGCAGAACUUGGCACUUGGUCUUCUUGAACUUCAUCCCAUUGGUCCCAGCCCAGUUAUUCAGCCUGUCCAAAUCACUCUGUAGGGCCUUCCUAUCAUGUGAACAAAGCCAUGUUUCCUACAUACUUGACACUCUGAAAAUGUCUGGUGUGUCUGAAGGUGGGAAACGUGUUCAGAGGAAAAGCAGCUUUUUUCUUAUAAGCAUUACACAUCAAUUUUCUAGGAGAUAGGGGAAUUUCAAGUAAAGAUAAGGGUUUCUUCAGUUGGAUUAGGACAAUGAAUGCAGAACAUCAGUGAAUGAAAAGAAAGUUUAUCAUACUGGGGUAUGGAUCUAGACAUCUGGAAAAUAAACCAUUUUCUUUUUUAUUUUUUAUUCCCUCAGAAGGAAAGUGUAUCAGAGGGGGAAAAAAAAAAAAACCCUCAUUCUGAUUUGUCUUACAUAUUUUUGAUUUUUAGCUUGCUUCACUUCACUGUUUUUGUAGGAGAUUUUCCUUAGCUGCCUCUGUAAAACUUUCUUUUACUGUGAAUUUAAACAAAAUUUUGACAGCUGUCAUGCUAGGGAUGUACUGGCAAUGCUGCCUGUCAGGAUGACCAACUGUGUCACUGUUUUCUUGUUCUUCCAUCUGUCUGUCUUUUUCUGUUUGUCAUUUUUGUCCCUCUCAUACUAAAAGUGCCUUUAACAUAAGGAACAUUGUUUUUUCAAGGUGUUUCGUACAGUACGUAACACAAUAGGUACUAAUGCAUGUGAUACCCUUGUGUUUUAUUCGAUUUAUUCAGUUCCCUUUUCUAACAGGAAAACUCCUAGCAGGUAAAAAAAGAUCAGCCCUCUGUUAUACCAAAUACAGGAAAUCAUUGCAAUUAUAAUUUUGACAAGAGUCUAAGAUGUUUAAAGAAGGCAUUAACUUCUGUCAGUUCUUACUUCUUCACUAAAGCUGAGCUCAUGCCUUUAUGCAAGGAUUGAAUAAUCCAGUCAACUAAUUAACUAUACCUUCUGUCAUUUUUUUGAACUCUUUCAUUUGGGAUUGCAUGAAUGUUUUCCACUGUAACUUAGGGAACCUAAUGUAAGAUAGGGAAUUGUCAUUUGAGCUAAUCUAGACAUAUUCUUUCCUCUAUUUAAGGAAUAAUAAUGCUAUGAGGACACAUUUAUUGCACAUCAAAUUAUUCAGGUCUUUUGUGUUCAUUGAAGCUCAUUUAAACAAAAAUCUGAUAAAGGAAUAAAUAUAUAAUCAUAAGUAAAAUAAUGCAUACUGGAUAUAGAUGACGUCUAAUUCUAAUGUUAAUGGACUUAGGUACCAGAAGAUAGACAUUUAUGCUUCUCUAUUCUACAUUGCAUAAAUCACCUGAUUAAGUAUGUUAAGCUUAUAUGCCAGCACAGUAUACAGCUGUGUUCAAGAUUAACCCUUAGUAUGCAUAUCCAUCCCCACAGUCUUCUGGUAAUGCAUGCUCCAUUAACUACCCCUGAAUUCCUGACAUUUCUCCAUCAUUUUCAACAGGACAUGAUGUGGCCUGCUGCUACUUUCUGCUUGCCUGAUUGCCUGCUAAAGUCCAUUCCUCUUGGCACUGCUUACACCAGCUCCAGCUGCUCCACGUUGCUUUACAGUAUCAACAUCUACCUCCUCAAAUUUGGAAGACUGGUCACCCUUUGUAGUACUGCUGUGUGGAUGAAUCUUAAUCUUCUUGAAAGUAGGAUAUUAAAGAUGAGAUAAGCCCUGGUAUCUAGAAGUAGUAUAUACUGCAGUCCUAUGAGACACAUAGAUAGAUAGCCAGAUAUAAUCUUUCUCCACUGGAUAUCUUGUCCUUAGAACUAUUACCCUGGAAACACUCCUUAAUAUUUCAAAUCACAUACCCCUUUUCUUAGGUAUAUUCUAUUUAUCAGACAUAGCCUAGCUACAGAAUGGCCAAUGCUGUUGAGCUCUCAGUCUUUGUAAAAAUGGAUUUUCAUCUUUUGUACAAGCUUGUAUUUUGCUAAACAAUUAAAUAAAAACAAAACACAACAAAACAAAACCUUGUAAAUACCAACCUGUUAGGACUGAUCUGUCUAUCGAUCAAUGAAGUGUUAAAAUCCACCACAGGAACUAGUCCCAGUACGACUUGAUACUUCACUCUGAAGCAGAAGUACUUUCAAAAACACAAAUAUCUGGUUUAUUCCCAAAAGCUCUUUUUUCUGGGUCAAUCCCAUGUUUCUUAAAUACUGUCAUGACAUUGAGGGGAAAGCUGUGUGCAUGUGAGAAGUCGGAAGCUUUGACACAUUAGGCAAACAAGAAGUCAGUUUAGUAUUGUGCAUUAAUGAAAGAGAAUGAAAAUAAAAAUCAGCUGAAAGCAAAUCCCACCUGCAAACCACUUCAGCAAGGUGUAUGAAGCAAAGGACAUCUGUGACCACAAUGUCAUACACUGAGGCAUUAUGGCUUCACACUGCAAUCUGCCUCUGAGCAGUCAUUUGAUAACACUGCAAUCCAGGAAUGCAGCUGUUCCUUUCUGCAAAUUUAAUGAUCCACAUAUCUUAAAAGGCAUUUUCUUUCAUAUUUUUUUAUUUACUUCUUUUGUGUUAUGUUUUGUAUCAGUGAAGAUAGAACAUUACACAGUCAUCAGGGAAAUUAUGUUUUUCCUUUUUUUUUUUUUUUUGAUCAUUCAAGACUUAUAUUCACAGUAAUGAGGCUUCCAGGUUUGUGCGGCUGUGAGAUGAACUGCAUUUUGCAUCACUGUCUUCACCUUCAUGUCUGGGGUUGUUGCCUUCACCUUCCUCCUGAUACUAGCCCUGAGGCACAUGUUAUCUCAUAUCCACAUGCAUUCUGUCAUGUCUCACUCUUUGAAUGAAUACAAAAACAUUUUGAGAAAAUGGAAAAUGGAGGGCUGGAUUGAAUUUUGUAGAUAUGCAUGUAGGAGACACUGCAUGCAGAUUCCCACAUUCCUGCCUCCGGGUGGUGGCUGUAGGAAGCAACUGCCUUGACAUUUCUGUCUUUCUUUUGUGGAAACCUUAUGCAGCCUUGUUCAAUCACACAAUCACAGAAAAUCACAUUCACUGGUGUUGGAAGGGCCCUCAAGCAAUCAUCAAGUCCAACGCCUCCGCUAAAGCAGAUACCCUACAAUAUGUCUCACAGGUAGCUCUCCAGGCAGGUCUCUAAUGUCUCCAUAGAAGGAGCCUCCACAACCUCCCUGGACAUCUCUGUUCCAAUGCUGUGUCACCUUUGCCAUAAAGAAGUUCUUCUGCAUGUUAGUACGAAGCUUCAUAUGCUCAAGUUCAAGUUUGUUUAUGUAUUACCUCUUGUUUGCAACUCCACAUUCAGCUCCAACUCUAAGGGAAGGAUGACAAGUUCAGUCUAACAUAGCAAACAUAGCAUGGAUUCAGCAACAAGACAACUUGGAUGGGCUUCAGUUGGAUUCACUGAAAACUGAACAGCAAUGCUGUAAGAGGUUGGACUUCUGCUCCAAAAUUUCUGUUUUCCCUCUGGGCAUGUUAGGAUAAGAAUAUUCUGCUCUUUGCAAGAAUUUGGAUGAAUCUCAGUAUAUAGUGCUUUUCUUUACAUGUUCUGUGUUUAGAAAAACCUUUUUAAAAUACUGAAUGUAUAUUAUUAUUGUACGAUGUUAUCUCUACAAUAGGUUUGUACUUUGAACUACUGGUUAGAAAACUUCUUAAAUAACUAUUAAUAAUGAAUCAGCCAGAUUUAGAGUCAAGGGCCAAAUUCUUUUAUUUUGAACUCUGACUAUAUUGACUAAAAAUCAUUUCUAUUUAAAAGAUCCCUGCAGGGACCUUCACUGUGGACUGUUUCUCAAGGCUUGAUUUGCAUAUCACCAAGACCUAUCUUCUCCUAUUUUUCCCCGAGAUGUUAUCUCUGCAAUAUCUUUCUUCUGUACCUCCUGGCAACUUUAUAGACUGCUCUCCUAUGGCAUGCUAAUAUCAUUGCCACUAGCCAAAAGAAUUUGCACAAGACAAAGGUGGAUAAUCCUAGGUUACAGUUUCAUUUGAUAAUCAAUAUGGAGAACAACCUCAGUGUUGAACCUCAUGUAGGUAGUAAAUCCAGCCAUAGUGAAGCAUGUACAUAGUUUGCUCUAGAAGUAAUGCCUCCUAUUUGUUUCCAUGAAAACUACGACAUAUAGAAAUAAUGUUUAAAGAAAAGGUGUGCUUUACGUUACUCCAUGUGGAAAAAUUUCACCUAUUGACAUUCAUCAGUGCUUACUGAACGUUUAGGGAGACUAAGAAGUGAGUAUGAACACAGUGGUGGGUAGUGCAUUUCAACAGUAGCAACAGAAACGGUGGGUCACCUAUGCUGGUGCAGAUUUUUAUGACUAUGGCAUGUAAUUUCUUGUUCAUCACAGUAAAAAUGCAUAUCUCAUGGUGGUGAUUAUGUUGAAAAAUAGUGUUUUGUAGCCGAGAAUCUGCUCUGUCAAAUAGUGUUAUUGUGCUCUUUGUAUCCAUUGUAGUUUCCAUGGAAAUAAGUAGGAGGAAUUACUUUCAGAGCAAGCAAUAUACAUAAAGCACCCCAUUGAAUUCAAUAGGAAUAUUGACAUAAGGAAGGAAUGUAGGGCUAAGCCUUUGAUUCCUGUAGAAUUCUUCUUUAACCAAACAAAAUAUUAUUCUGUGUUUGGAUUAUGUUCAAUUAGAACUUAGAAAUUAUUGUUUGUCUGUGAGAUGCCAUUCACAUGACUAUCUUCUCAUAAGUGAUUUAUACUACAUGCUCUUAGGACUAUGUCAUGUGAAAAGUGAAAUAUUUAGAUAGCCAAAUAUCUGACACAAAAGUAUAUGACAAUCACACACACACAACUGAAAGUCCAAGAAAUCACAUCACCCAAAUUGCUCAUAUCUUUCUCUCUCACUGUUUGUGUUGGUUUCCUUUCAGUAGAUACAACUGCAGAUCUUUGGCCUGUGCCACAUGUCAAAUAAGGAUAAGAACCUUCCCCAUGGAAGUCAGUUUUCAAAUUUAAAUGGAACAGAUAUGUAAAUUUCAACACUUUCCCUACAUAAUAUACGCAUUUGAACUGCCAGAUUGUUCAGGUGUACAUGCAAGGGGUAGGUUGUACAUGCAAGAACCCAUUUAUGCUGAUGAAGAAAAUGAUGUAUGGAAAAUAAAAUACAUUUAAAGCAUGCACUGUGGCAUGUACUGACUUUACCAGAAUAAUUGAGGGAAUUAAUAUUGAAUACCCGAUCUAUGGAGACAAAAAUACUAAAUAGCCUAAUGUCACUGAGAAAGAAGCAGAGAGCAAAGGAUUUCCACAUUUUUUCUCUUACAAAAUUUUGAUGGAUUCUGAUCUUUUUUUUGUGUGUGUGUGCUGUUUUUCUCAAACCCAAUGUGAUGACAGAAAACCUUGAAUGCAGAUUUCUUAUUGUUGUGCAAUUGCUGGGGAAAUUGUAAAUAGCUGGAGUUUAGAUUUGAAAGUAUGUAACUACUCCAUUUCCAUCUGAAUUAACAUGUAAUACCUUUUUUAAUUCUGUAUUUAUCACAGGAAAUAUUUUUUGCUUGAAGUAUGUACUUCUGGGAGUGUGUUCAUUGUCCUGUGUUGUAAUAUCACUUCUGAAAGAAAUAUGUCUUUAAAUAUUAGUGUUCAGUAGGACUGUUCUUAAUCUCUGUUAUUAUAAUAAAUACUGAAUGUCAGACUUUUUCAAAGAUCCAAAUUGGAAAUGUGCUUUUUAUCUCACUAAAAUGAGUGGAAGCUCCACACGUCAUGUACAUUUCAAAGUAGAGAACUGUUAUCCCAAAUAUGCAUUGCAAGGAUAAUUGGAAAGGAUUAAUUUACUUCAUGGGGAUUUGACGGAGAUGAAUGAUCUGUUGUGCUCCCGGGAAAUUGGGAAUUUGGAAUUCUUUACUUUCAGUGGUUGAGAAUUAUCUGUGAAGUUUCUAUGCUUGAGUAGUUUUAAGUGCAUCUGUUCUUGAAGUAAUACAAAACAAAAACUCAGAUUUUCCCUGUCUGGGGUUUAUUCAUGUUACUACAGAUUUUUAAUACGAAAAUUAGAAUAUUGAAAAUAUAUUUUUCCUUUGGUUUUAAUAUUUAUACAGUAGAAAUUCUUGUUAGUGUUAAAAUGGAAUCAUAUAUCCAUUUAUGUUUUUAUAUGCAUAAGUACACCAUAGUUUAGGGUUUGAUGAAAGCCAUCUCAGUAGAAUCAGUCCUUGUUACACUUGUUUUAGAUUUGUGCUGUUUGAGGCAGAGAGAUACAGAUAGAGGAUUUAUUUUUCAGUCCUAGUAGUUAAUCAAGUUCCUGUAACAGUCAUCUAAUCCCAUGGUUUUACCCAAGUCGUUUUCUCCAUGUUACUUCUACCUUUCUUAAGCAAGGCAAGUUUCUGCCUCAACAUUCUACCUUUGACCUAUUUGACCUUGCCUAUUUCCUUUCUGCUGUACAGCGGGUCAAUAACAGUACUGAGCAAGCAAUCCUCUUUCUAGCAUAUUGCCAGCUGUACAGGAGCUGUUGUGAACUCCCUAGAAAAGCUGAGAUGUGGUGUAAUACUUACGUUCACCUGCAAUCAGCAAUUUUAUGGUGCUAUCUCUGAAAAGCAGAGGGGAUUGAGUGGAUGUGCCGUGAAAGAAUUGAUGGAAUAUCCACUUUAAUGCUCUCUUAAGAAGGAAGGAGCGUUCUGCAGAAAUCCAGUCCAGCAUAUAUGCUAACACAACAGCAUUUUGGUUUGUUGGACCUCCUGUGGGGAAGACUGCAAAGUGGUUAUAGUUAUACAGGCUGCUGUAGGCAUCUCUGGGCUAGUCUCCCC
RNAcentral lists this long non-coding RNA (32759 nucleotides) under Gallus gallus (chicken). Lineage: Eukaryota; Metazoa; Chordata; Aves; Galliformes; Phasianidae. The record is from RNAcentral.